RNAcentral lists this long non-coding RNA (298 nucleotides) under Malus domestica (apple). RNAcentral's name for it is "long non-coding RNA (MDOM_LNC013948)". Lineage: Eukaryota; Viridiplantae; Streptophyta; Magnoliopsida; Rosales; Rosaceae. The record is from RNAcentral.
UGAAAUGUAAAUGACACAAGAGUUAUCGUGGUUCACCCCAAUGUUUGGGCUACGUCCACACUGUAGUUGAUUCUGUUUCUCUGUAAGUGUAUGGAUACAAGUGUUUGGGGGAAGUCCCCGGAGAAAGAAGAGAAGGGAGAGGAGAGCCUCGGUGGUGUGAGGUCUCUCCUGAAUGUAAUGAUAGCUUCUCUUAGCCUUCUUAGGCUUGGCUCUUUUGCCUCCUCUAGAAUGAGGGGAGGAGUCCCCUUUUAUAGAAUAAGGGGCUCCUCCUCUUUUACAAAGUAUGGGCUUUAGUGUG